GAUGGAUCUGAGAGUUGCCGUGUUCUUCGAUAAGGGAACAGUUUUUGGUCACUGUGGUUGUUGAAUGUAAUUGUAAAGCAGUAAGGGGUAUUAGUAUUUGAUUGCUGUACUAUAGCGUUUAAUUGGGACUGCUAGUCAUGGAUCAUGUUAUUGGUGGCAAGUUUAAGCUUGGACGGAAGAUCGGUAGCGGAUCCUUUGGUGAACUUUAUUUGGGCAU
This 217-nucleotide unclassified non-coding RNA is filed under the name Hevea brasiliensis (rubber tree). Lineage: Eukaryota; Viridiplantae; Streptophyta; Magnoliopsida; Malpighiales; Euphorbiaceae. The record is from RNAcentral.